UCCUAGCCUUCCUAUCCCUACUUUUCUUCUCUCCUUGCCUUCUUUAAUUCUUUUCCUAGACUCUUGUCUUAAAAUCGGAUUUGUCCUUACUAUUUUUGGACUUAUCCUAACAAGAGAAAGAAGAGACUAAUUGACAAUAGGGAGAGGAUGUUAGAAAGAAAGGAAGAAUUGGAAAUCUGAAUCAAUCCAAUCCCCCGACGCACCCCC
This 207-nucleotide long non-coding RNA is filed under the name Elaeis guineensis (African oil palm). Its description in RNAcentral is "long non-coding RNA (EGUI_LNC047133)". The record is from RNAcentral. Lineage: Eukaryota; Viridiplantae; Streptophyta; Magnoliopsida; Arecales; Arecaceae.